Molecule: long non-coding RNA, 3416 nt
Filed under: Sus scrofa (pig)
Lineage: Eukaryota; Metazoa; Chordata; Mammalia; Artiodactyla; Suidae
Description: lncRNA (ENSSSCG00015004495.1)
Source: RNAcentral
GGUCCCAGUCUAGGAGUCCAAUUGGAGCUGUAGCUGCCAGCCUACACCACAGCCACAGCAAUGCAGGAUCCGAGCCACAUCUUCGACCUACACCAGAGCUCAUGGCAAUGCCGGAUCCUUAACCCACUGAGUGAGGCCAGGGAUCAAGCCUGCGUCAUCCUCAUGGAUGCUAGUCACGUUCGCUAACAACUGAACCACAACAGGAAUGCCACACGAACAUUUGUGAGUACUCCAUUUUACAAAAUAUCUGUACAUAAAUUGACCAUAUUUUUUCUUUUUUAUGGCCGCACCUGCAGCAUAUGGAAGUUCCCAGGCCUGGGAUCAAAUUCAAGCCUCAGCUCUGACCUAUCCUACGUUGCUGUGGCUGUGGUGUAGGCCGGCAGCUAUACUCUGAUUUGACCCCUAGCCUGGAAACCUCCAUAUACCAUGGGUGCAGCUCUAAAAAGCAAAACAAAACAAAACAAAACAUGGGGACCAGAAGGGCACCAACUCUGCUGCUCUGUCCUAUAGAAAGGUCUCCCCACCCAUUUGCACCCCCCACCACUCCAAGCAACAGGCACCACUACUCAAUUCAGUGGUAACCACCAAAAUGGACACAGGACAAAAACAAAAUCUCAAGAAUCAGUUUACUUUUUCAGGCCCAGUCUUGUACCCCUAAACCCAUUAAAUAACGAGGAAAAAUCCCUUCCCUGGUGAACAUCUACUUUUAAAUCUAUUAAGUAAUGACUAAACCAAAGCAACAUGUCUAGAAGCCAAAGCUCAGAGGCCAGGGCAAGACUUGGGAAUCAUUAACAAGCCAGGAGGUCAAAAGAGCAAACUAUCUUGGAAAUUCUAGUAAAUUCCAUCUGAAAAAAGAAACAAAACCCAUUCAAGUAUGCACAUUCCUAAACAAUCAUCAAAUUUCUGAAGAACCAAAAAAAAAAAAAAGAAAAAAUUCUGCCUAUAAAAAAUCCUAUCCACAAAAAUCAAUUAGUCCAUCUAAUGUUUUAUGGUCAUCAGACAGACUUGAGGACAAAGUCUCCAGUCCUCAGAGACUGCUCUAUUAUCUAUUAGACUAGGCAUGCCCAGAGGGCAGGGAUUAUAAAUUGUAAUUGAGGAUUCCCUCCUCUAGCCAGUAUGGCAUUUGAUUAAGCCAUUUACCACAGGAUCUCACAGUUCCAGGAGAGCUUGCUAAGUGCUAGGCAAGCGCUAAGCAGUUUCUAUGAAAUUAUUUCACUUAAAAGGCUUUGUCUUCACUCAUUGUCUUUUGAAAUCUAAUUACAAGCUUCUAAAUCCCUCCCCACUUGGCAAAUAUUUCUCCUAAAAGGUUCAUUCUUGCUUCUCUCAGCAGGAAAGGUUGCUGCACAGACGGCACCAGCCCCUUGCCCUGUGAACUCCCGAGUCCAUAGUCCAUAGUCUAGAGGAACAACUCAGAACACAAUUCGCCCUCCACUGUUCACAUAGGCAGGGCAGGGACCAGCUGGAGGCGGGGUAACGGAAGAAAACCAGUACACACUUUCAAUGCUAUACUGGAGUAUUACCUAACAGGUACACUCAAGAAUUCAGGAUUAUUUGAUUCUCAUUGUGGUGCAAUGGUGUUGGCCAUGUCUCUGCAGCAUCAGGAUGCAGGUUCAAUCCCCGGCCUGGCAACAGGGGGUUAGAGGAUCAGUGUUGUCUCAACUGUCUGUGGUGUAGGUCGCAACAGCAGCUCGGAAUAUGAUCCCCGGCCUGGGAACUCCAUGUGCCAUGGAGUGUCCAAAAAAGACAAAAGAGGGGGGAUUAUUUGAUUCUCUAAGCAUUAUACCUGUGUCUGAUUGACUAAGUACAUUGAUUUGGGCUCAGACUUUGUGAAAUUACAUGGUAACUUGUAGACUUUUAUCCAUUUUAGAUGCAUAUGAUUUCUGAUUGAUAAAAAUGAGAGUCCCAAAUGUUAUUGCUUGAUUGCCCUGUAGGACAUUAACCAGUUUUGUAAAUAACCUAGUAAUCUUAUUCCAAUAUUCUUCAGUGCCUAUACUGCCACCAUCUGAACCAGGUUUAUCUUCCUACUGGUUCCUUCCUUUGAGUUAAAUACUUUUUUGACAUGCUCAUUUUAUCUAUAUGAGAGCCAUGUUUAUACCUAAAACAAUAUAUACAUUGACAAGAGAAAUACUGUCCAGUUGAACAGUCACCAGCAGAAAAAUGAAAAUAUAUUUAUUCAUUACAUACAUCAGAAAGCACGUGCACACACACACACACACAUCCUAUAAUUCUGUUCAGGGCAGGUAGAGGGAAUCUUUCUGAAAAAAGGAUUAAGGAGCUCUCCAUUAAGAUGGUUUUCAGGCCAGACCUUGAAAUACAGGUACUUACAAUACAUGAAGGAGGAAAAAAUAUGAAGUAAAGCACUAGGCAUGUGAGACCCAGAAGCAGGGAGUAGCUUGGAAUGGCUGGCAUGCAGAGACCCAGACAACUGGAGGUCCCUGGGGAAGAGAAUUUAAUGAACUGGUUAUUCUGAGACGUUCCUUGACUCUGAAGCUCUAGUUUUGCACUUAAUCCUUAAUUUUUACUUAAUAUGUGUUAUUCUUUGCAGAAGUCCCACCAUGCCUCUUUCCAGAAACAUUUCCUUGAGACUGCAGCCUGGAGGGAAAGUCAAGACACCUGUCCAGGUCACAUACCACCUGUCCUGGCCCUAGACUGUGUCACAGGAUGAUAAAGAAACCUGUCCCAAUUCAGGUUUCGGACACCUGUUCCAGGGUGGCCCAAGCCUACGUCCAAACUGUCACCCCAAAUAAGUCACAGUGAAGCAAAAAGCCAUGCAUCCAGAGUACAAAGACUUGAAAAGUGCUUUGUGGGUUGUUUGCAAAAUGUGCAACAGUAAAACAUAACAGUAAAAGUUUCCAUUUACAGGGAGCUCCUGUCCUCCCUCAGUGGUAACAAAACUGACUAGUAUGCCUGAGGACUAGGGUUCAAACCCUGCUCAGUGGUUUAAGGACCCAGUGUUGCCGUGAGCUCUGGUGUAGGUUGCAGACAUAGCUUGGAUCUGGCAUUGUUGUGGCUGUGGCCAGCGGCUGCAGCUCCAAUUGGACCCCUCUCCUGGGAACNUCACAGCAAAAAAUAACUCUACCCUUCCUAAGAUUACAUCCAGUCCAAAAACCUUUGAUAGAAAGACUUCAAUUUCUGAACACCCACAUCUAGAGCGUCAACACUCAGUUUAACAAAACAAAAUAAUAAAAAUGCAGCUUAAGACACCUCAAAGAAUUCAAAGUUUGGACUGCAGAAAUGUCUGCUCUGUAAAGAAUAGAUUUCAAGAAAUAAGAGACAUCUAAUGCUAUUUCUAAGAUUAUGCCUAGUUGAGAAAACAAUCCUUUUUUCUUUUCUUUAUUCCCAGAAUACAGAGAAACAAGAGCAGCCCCUUUUCCUGACAUCUGCUGUUUCUGGAAAAAAAAAAAAAAAAAAAAAAA